Molecule: long non-coding RNA, 374 nt
Filed under: Dromaius novaehollandiae (emu)
Lineage: Eukaryota; Metazoa; Chordata; Aves; Casuariiformes; Dromaiidae
Description: lncRNA (ENSDNVG00000011320.1)
Source: RNAcentral
UGUGCAAGAGAUGAACUAGCUGCCCCAUGCGAUGGCAAACGGAAGCUGAUGAAUUCUGCUUGGGCAAACAGAAGCCAACAGGUCUUAAAAGAGCAACAAAUGUAUUCUUGCAUGCCGCUGGUAAACACAGUGUUUGGACCCAGCUCUGUCUGUGCCACUGCUGCAUAUUUCUGAUGGGCUCUCUGCUGAAGCGUGAUGGAGUUCGAAGGCGCGGAGGAAAAGACGCUCUGAUUUGUGCUGGAUGGCCCAAAGAGAGACCCGCCAGGACUGCUCACCCGUUCCUGCAGCUUUCUUCUCUUAUGCUCAGAUCCAACUUGCUACAGAUUUCUCAAAGGCAGAAGUCUCACUGAAAUUAAGAUGAGUUUAAAUUAUCU